UGGGGAAUUUUGGACAAUGGGCGCAAGCCUGAUCCAGCAAUGCCGCGUGAGUGAAGAAGGCCUUCGGGUUGUAAAGCUCUUUUGUCAGGGAAGAAACGGUUCGGGCUAAUAUCCUGGGCUAAUGACGGUACCUGAAGAAUAAGCACCGGCUAACUACGUGCCAGCAGCCGCGGUAAUACGUAGGGUGCGAGCGUUAAUCGGAAUUACUGGGCGUAAAGCGUGCGCAGGCGGUUUUGUAAGUCUGACGUGAAAUCCCCGGGCUUAACCUGGGAAUUGCGUUGGAGACUGCAAGGCUGGAGUCUGGCAGAGGGGGGUAGAAUUCCACGUGUAGCAGUGAAAUGCGUAGAGAUGUGGAGGAACACCGAUGGCGAAGGCAGCCCCCUGGGUCAAGACUGACGCUCAUGCACGAAAGCGUGGGGAGCAAACA
RNAcentral lists this ribosomal RNA (427 nucleotides) under uncultured Massilia sp. RNAcentral describes it as "bacterial SSU rRNA". It matches the Rfam family "Bacterial small subunit ribosomal RNA", at positions 355 to 774 of the family's 1533-position model. Lineage: Bacteria; Pseudomonadati; Pseudomonadota; Betaproteobacteria; Burkholderiales; Oxalobacteraceae. The record is from RNAcentral.